Galeopterus variegatus (Sunda flying lemur) is the source of this 894-nucleotide long non-coding RNA. RefSeq lists it as uncharacterized. The record is from RefSeq and is a predicted model, not a curated record. The transcript is spliced from 3 exons. Lineage: Eukaryota; Metazoa; Chordata; Mammalia; Dermoptera; Cynocephalidae.
UAUAAUGGCCUCUAAGUGUUCAAGUGAAAGGAACAGUCUCAUAUCACUCACUUUAAAUCAAAAACUAAAAAUGAUUAAGCUUCAUGAGGAAACCUUUUGGAAUAAAUUCACCAUUCCAAAUGCCUUUAAGAACAUUUGUGAUUCAUGGGAGCGGGUCAAAAUGUCACCAUUAACAGGAGUUUGGAAGAAGUUGAUUCCAACCCUCGUGGAUGACUUGGAGGAAUUCAAGACUUCAACAGAAAAAAUAACUGCAGAUGUGGUGGAAAUAGCACGAGAACUGGAGGUAGAAGUGCAGCCCGAAGAUGUGACCGACUCACUCACUACAACCUCAUGAUCACAUGCCACAGAGAAAGCUUUGGUGAAAGGAAGAGCCGAUCAAGAGCAGCAAACUCCAUUGUUGUCCUAGUCAAAGAGGUUGCCACAGCCACCCCAGUGAUGGCCUUCAGAAAUCACCACCCUGAUCAGUCAACAGCCAUCAGCAUCAAGGCAGGACCCUCCACCAGCAAAAGGAUCAUUACUCACUGAAGGCUUAGAUGAUCAUUAGCAUUUUUUAACAAUAAAGUAUUUUUAACUAAGCCCUUAUUUUUUUACCCUAGAGAAGAAGACAAAUACUACCUCGGACAGAAGGAGAACAAGAUGUAGGGGCAGUUCCUGUUAAUCAAGAAGGGGAAAUAGGAAAUUCUUACUGUGAGAGGAGAUAUAUCUGCAAGAGAGACAGAAGGGUAACCUGUGAGUAGUCAGCACAAGCCACGGACUAGGUCUUGACUGUAUCUCAUCUAUGAAUCACACAUUCAAUGAGCUGCCCACGAUUUCCUUCAUCACACCUCUACAUUGGAUUCAAGGGGUUUUUCCAACCACCACUUCUUUAAGGCCUAUAGCAGCUUCUCAUUGAAU